Molecule: ribosomal RNA, 485 nt
Filed under: Fusarium oxysporum f. sp. ciceris
Lineage: Eukaryota; Fungi; Ascomycota; Sordariomycetes; Hypocreales; Nectriaceae
Description: eukaryotic LSU rRNA
Rfam family: 5.8S ribosomal RNA (bases 122-275)
Source: RNAcentral
GAACAUACCACUUGUUGCCUCGGCGGAUCAGCCCGCUCCCGGUAAAACGGGACGGCCCGCCAGAGGACCCCUAAACUCUGUUUCUAUAUGUAACUUCUGAGUAAAACCAUAAAUAAAUCAAAACUUUCAACAACGGAUCUCUUGGUUCUGGCAUCGAUGAAGAACGCAGCAAAAUGCGAUAAGUAAUGUGAAUUGCAGAAUUCAGUGAAUCAUCGAAUCUUUGAACGCACAUUGCGCCCGCCAGUAUUCUGGCGGGCAUGCCUGUUCGAGCGUCAUUUCAACCCUCAAGCACAGCUUGGUGUUGGGACUCGCGUUAAUUCGCGUUCCUCAAAUUGAUUGGCGGUCACGUCGAGCUUCCAUAGCGUAGUAGUAAAACCCUCGUUACUGGUAAUCGUCGCGGCCACGCCGUUAAACCCCAACUUCUGAAUGUUGACCUCGGAUCAGGUAGGAAUACCCGCUGAACUUAAGCAUAUCAAUAAGCGGAG